UCGAAUCUAACAUGAAGAGGUAGAGAGACUGUGCUGGCCGAUCGCGAUUGGCAUGUGCACGUCCCCUCGCCUUUUCCUGUCUACAUACACCUGUGCACCUAUCGUAGAUCCCCUCGAAAGAGAGGGAACUAUGUUUUCAUCACAUCACACGCAAAGAAUGUCUAGAAUGUAAAUGUGAUAAAUCACAAAUAUAUA
Molecule: unclassified non-coding RNA, 195 nt
Filed under: uncultured Boletus
Lineage: Eukaryota; Fungi; Basidiomycota; Agaricomycetes; Boletales; Boletaceae
Description: sequence contains ITS1
Source: RNAcentral